RNAcentral lists this ribosomal RNA (408 nucleotides) under uncultured bacterium. RNAcentral's name for it is "partial 16S ribosomal RNA". It matches the Rfam family "Bacterial small subunit ribosomal RNA", at positions 28 to 526 of the family's 1533-position model. The record is from RNAcentral.
GACGAACGCUGGCGGCGUGCCUAAUACAUGCAAGUCGACCUUAGUGGCGAACGGGUGAGUAAAACGUGGGUAAGAUGCACCUCAGCAGGGGACAACAUUUGUAAACAGGUGUUAAUACCGUAUAUUUAUGGAUAGACCCUCGGUUCAUUAGCUAGGUGGGGAGGUCACGGCUCACCAUGGCCACGAUGCAUAGCAGACCUGUGAGGGUGACCGUCCACAGUGGCACUGAGACACGGCCCAAACUCCUACGGGAGGCAGCAGUAGGGAAUCUUCGGCAAUGGUCGAAAGUCUGACCGAGCAACGCCGCGUGAGUGAAGAAGGUUUUCGGAUCGUAAAACUCUGUUGUUAGAGAAGCGUUACCUAACCAGAAAGCCACGGCUAACUACGUGCCAGCAGCCGCGGUAAUUC